UACGUAGGUGGCGAGCGUUGUCCGGAUUUACUGGGCGUAAAGAGCGCGUAGGCGGCCGAGUAAGUCCGACGUGAAAUCUGGAGGCUCAACCUCCAGCGGUCGUUGGAAACUACUCGGCUAGAGUCCGGAAGAGGAGAGUGGAAUUCCUGGUGUAGCGGUGAAAUGCGCAGAUAUCAGGAAGAACACCGAUGGCGAAAGCAGCUCUCUGGGACGGUACUGACGCUGAGGCGCGAAAGCGUGGGGAGCGAACAGG
This 253-nucleotide ribosomal RNA is filed under the name uncultured bacterium. RNAcentral's name for it is "partial 16S ribosomal RNA". It matches the Rfam family "Bacterial small subunit ribosomal RNA", at positions 524 to 776 of the family's 1533-position model. The record is from RNAcentral.